This 23119-nucleotide long non-coding RNA is filed under the name Malus domestica (apple). RNAcentral's name for it is "long non-coding RNA (MDOM_LNC006574)". Lineage: Eukaryota; Viridiplantae; Streptophyta; Magnoliopsida; Rosales; Rosaceae. The record is from RNAcentral.
UAAAAUCACAUGACCGUGUGGUCAUUUGCCAAAAAAUUGGCGAUACUUCUGUGAUCAAGAUCAUGGAGCUUGAAGAUUGAUAUAAAAAUUGCAACUUCUUUUGCGUAUAUGUUUACGAGUUUUACUGGUAAGUUCUCCAUGUCCUGUACCUUGCCCUCUUUCCCGAAAAUAAGCAAAUGUGCGUGUUAGUUGUAAGAAACCCUGGAUUGAAUUUCUGAGUUUUUGUAGUUGAAGUACCUCAAAACUUUUUAAGGGAAAUUACUGUAAAUUGUUGCUCCUCCAUCUUUCCUACCCAAACAGAGAACUAUCUCGUUGUAUUUUCUUAUAAAGAUUUUUAUUUUUAUUUUAUUUUGAAUAAACGAUGCUAUCUACGGGGGUGAGGGAGUGAGUUAAGCUUCAUAAUCGGCUAACAAUAAUGUGGUUCAAAUUCGUCUUUGGUUAGAAUCAAAUCUAAGACCUCUCACUUACAAAUGAAAAUAAAUACCACUAGAUCGUAGUACUAAAUAGUUCUUAUAAAAAUAAAAAAAAUAUUUGAAAUAACAUUUCAAUGUCAUUUCCAUUUCCUUCAUUAUGCACACCCACGGUUUAUUUUUUGUCACGCUUAAAAACUGGUUAUUACACUCGCAUCAGUUUUAAUAGUUUAUCAAGCACCAAAUUGCUUUAUUUCAUAGAUGAUUGGCAGUUUUUUUCAAAGUGAUUAUUUUUACAUUACAGAAAAAGUUCUCGAGAUCAUUUGGUGACUAAAGAAUAUAUGCUCAUUUACCUUUGGAUUUGAUAUGGUUGAUGCACAAAAUUAAAUUAAUCUUGGACCAACUUAAUUUCAACCACAAAUCACACAGGCGCAAAAAACACAAUAACAUAUCGUGGUUCACCUUGAGAUGGGAUUAUGUCCAUAGUUUCCGUUUCCACUAUGUAAGUGUAGGUUGCAUUGUAAAAGACAAGAGGUUUGUUGCCUUUGAAAGGGUAAAGUGGCUAGGGUUUGGAAGGAGAGGUUCUCUUUGAAGUGAGGGUUAGAAUUCUUUUUAUAGGAUAUGUAAGGGUAUGAUUGAUGAUUUAACAGCAAAAGCAAUAAAAAAUCCAAGGCCACCCAUCAAGAAGGGCCUCCCAUUUUAUAUUAAUUGUAUGUGUGACAUCCCACGGGAGUGGAUCAUGUAAGUCUUAUAUGUAUAUUCUCAUAUCUUCUUAGCAUGAGGCAUUUUGGGAACUUACUGGCUUCGGGUUCCAUUGAAACUCCGAAAUUAAGCGAGUUCACGAGAGAGCAAUCCCAUGAUGGGUGACUCACUAUGAAGUUCUCGUGUGAGCUCCCAGAAACAAAACCGUGAGGGUGUGGCCGGGGCCAAAGCGGAUAAUAUCGUGCUACGACGGAGUCGAGCUCGAGAUGUGAUGGGGUCCGGGCCCGGAUGUGAGCAGUAUGUAUAUAUCUAUUCGAAUUUGCAAUGAUAUGCCAAAUUCUACACAUGGCUCAAUUGUCCUCCACAUCUUAUUCAUAGUCCAUGUACCAUGAAAUUGGGUUCGACUCUACCGAGUGUCUUUUCUUUUUUGUUUUAUUUUAAUUUUUUGGGUAUUUAAAAGCAUGAGUUGUGUUUUAUUGUGUUAUUUAAAGCAUGUCGUUUAUUUUAAUUUCUUAUGUGUUUUAUUUUAAUUUUUUUGAUAUUUAAUAGAAUGGGUUGUAUUUUAUAUUUAUUUAUUUAUUGUUAUUUAAAGCAUGGUUUUUCUUGAUACAACAAUGAAAUAUGCAUCUUAACCAUCGGUGCAAAAUUUGAAAAUCAUUACAACUAGUGGAAGCUUUUAGAUGCAAAGAUUCAGCAAUGCUCACAAUUAUCAAAUCCCUACCAAACUCAUGUUCCAAGUCUUACUGCCUUAUAAGCAAAAUAGUCGACCAUGACUUAUUUAACUGCGUUUGAUACGACACUGAAAUGCCAGUUCAACAAUCAACACAACUCAAUCAUUCAAGAUCUUGGUAAAAUAUCUCAAUCCACCACUACUAUAGAGUUUAUGACUGAUAUUGUUAUCUCACCUAUUAGCCAUCACGUAGAUUUAGUCAACUUAUAUCUGUGCCAGAUUAAACUGCCCACCUAAAUCUCCAUGACAACUUUCCCUACUCAUAUUUUCCAACUAUACCAAGGGAAUCAAGACCCUGCGUAAAGCGAGAGCCUUGUGCACUGGGUAUGACCAAGGGAAUCAAGACACUUUGAGCACUGUCACGCCGAAGUGUUGCACGAUAAGCACCUUGAAAUCCCGCUUGCCGAGUCCAGCUGCAAGACUGCUUACAAGCAGCUCAUUCAUUUCCUAAUUAUCACUAUAUAUGGACAUAAAACUACCUCAAGCCACGUCUAAGCUAUAGCUUCCAAUGGUAAGCACUAGAGUAAACUAAAAAAAACACGGGGUCUCAGAACCACUGAGCUAAAAUGAUCAUUAUUCAAGUGGAGAUGACUGUGUCGUCACCAAUCUUCAAAAGAAAAUCCACGUUAAUCUUUUGAAAUCCUUUUCGGAGUCCCUCAAGAUGAAGAACACAAGCUCGAAUCAAUCCACUGCUAUGUAAAAUGAUCUCUUCACCUUGCAAUAGUAGCCCUCCUUCAAAAUGCCAUACCCAUUCACUAAGCUACAUCUGCUUAACCAGUUAAACACAUAUAAAGGCCUCUCUCUCACAAGCAGCUAGUUGUAAUCUCUAGGCCUCACCAGACCAUCGUGUCAGUAAUUACUACAAAUUUGUGUUUCGAGAAAAAACCGUGUGGACAAACAAACAACAGGAUGAUUGUAGGCAGUGUACAAACAAAACUAAAAACCCUUCAUCGGACUUCCCUUGCCCUUUCUUGGUGCAGCAAUGGAAACUUGAUAAAGGGUUGUGAAUAGAUCUGUAAACGGGUCGGGUUUAUUGGGUUUGGGUCGGGUUGAAUCCGAUCCGUUAAGUUAACGGAUCAUCCGAACUCAACCCGUUAAACUAACGGGUCACCCGUUUCAUCCGUUAUCACCUGUUAACAAUUAUUAUUAUUUUUUUUGCAUAAAGUUUAUUUUUUGUUAUCAAGACUUUACUAAAAUUACUAAAAUAUCCUCAACUAACGGGUGCUAACGGGUGUUAACGGGUCUAACAGGUUGACCCAAAGUGACCCGUUAUUUAACGGGUUGUUAACAGGUUCACCCGUUAACGACCCGACCCGUUAAGCAUCCAUCCAAAUACAAAUAUUAACAGAUUGGGUCGGAUCGGGUUAACGGGUUGGGUCCAAAAUGCCAGGCCUAGUUGUGAAUCGAUACACCCGAAAAACCCUUUUAUGAAGCUAAACUCCUACACUCAGUCCCGUUCCUAUCCAAUUUAUGUUUCUGGUAAUCAAAAAUUCAAACGACCAGCAUAAAUCAAGACGUAUCCAUUUUUUUUCUUCAUAUUAAAUUCAAGUUUCAUCACGAAAAAUUCCAAGUUCAAAUACGAGGAUGCAAGCAACCAACUCACAUGCAAUCAUGAAUGAAAACCCAGAUUUCAUAUACAACAAAUUAGUAAAAUUUCAUGUAAAAAAAUCAACAAAAUAAAAUAAACCAGGGUAAAAAAGCCAUGCCUGCCAGAGUAUAAUAGGAUUGGAAGUCUUCGUUAUGGGCUCUUCGCACUCAACCGCCACAGGCGGAGGAGCCACCACUUGCGCUUUCGGGAAGCUCAAAGACCGGCUUCGGCGUCUUACUUUCAGUUCCUUCUUCUGGUUUCCUUGGCUCCUCUGCAACAACGACGCUUGCCGCUUCUGGUUCUUGCUUCAGGAAGGGGAGUUGAAGCUUGAACUUGGGGAAGAGUGAGAACAAGUUUUUGGGUCCUUUUGGGUCGUCUUCUUUGAUUACAAUCUCUGUGUUUUCUGCCAUUUUUUGGGAGAGAAAGGGCGAUUCUGAAUGUGGGUUUGGAGUGUAAACGGCGGAGAAAACGAGCAGAGUGGCGAUGUUCAUGAGAUGUUGUAAACGCAGCUUUUAUUAUAUUUUCUCUCUUUUUCUUACUCCAGAACGUCCUCCAUCCUCGUUUAAAUUUAAAAAUUAAAAAUUAAAAGGCUAAAUUUUUUUCUUCAUCAUGCGGUGAGGCACCACUUUUAAAUCGAUUAUUGUGGAGAAAAAAGCGUUAAUCUUAACCCUGUGGUGUAAUUCGUUAUCAAUCGUAGUCCAAAUAGAAAUUUCUAUCAAAAUCUAAUCCUCGUGCAGGGGUAAAAAGGUCAUUUCAUUUUGAUAAUUCCACUUUUUUAUAAUCAACAAAAAAAUUAGAAGGGAAAAAAAAAAAAAAAAACCCUCCCCAAUCCCUACCUUUGUAAGCCACAACCACAGCGACCACCCACCACCUUCCCUCCUCUCUCUCGCAUAACCUUAUCCAUCCUGUCCACCACUGUUAUUCUUAAGAUGAAACUAAAUUCAAUGUUUGCAUAAUAACUUAUAUUCUAACCUAAACACAGUGAGGUACUUUGUGAUUUUUUAAAUCUUGAAUUUGGACACUUGGAUCACUUGAAAUGAGAAAGUCUGAUAAUAUGAACCUUGUAAUUUUAUUGUUUAUUUAUUCUUUUAUUGUCCAUAUGACAUUUUAUGAUUGGUUGAUAGAAUUAAUAAAAACGAAAAUAACAAUUUUGGCCCUACAAAUGUUAGAAGAAUAAGGAAAAAUCCAAUUUGGACUAUGAUUGAUAACGAAUUUCAUCACAUGAUUACAAUUAAUAGCUGUUUCACCACAAAUGUCUGAGGUCUAUUUAAAAGUAAGGUAUCACCACAAGGAUCACGAAAAAAAUUUGGCCAAAUUAAAAAUAUUCAUGUGGUGUUUUGAGGAAAAAAAAAAGCAACACUAUUUAUAAUAAUAAUAAUAAUAUUUUUCUUAAAUAAAUAAAAGUUUAAAACGUAUGAUUUUGAUAUUCGUCUAUGCAUCCAUUAUCUGGAUAAUCAAAUAUAGCAAUGUUAAUCCAAUUGCGUUUAUUAGUUCUUGUCUAUUACGUCCCGAAUCUAGGAUGGGUGAAAAAUCCGAAUUUGAAAGGCAAAUUAAAUUAAUAAAGAAAUUUUAUAUUUAAAACUUGCAUUCUAUACAAGGCUACAAAGAAAAUAAAAUAAAUUUGUUCACAAAAAGAAAAAAAAAAAAUAAAAUAAAAUUCUAAUAUCACAUUUAAUUUGAUUUCAAUAGAAAGCAUGUAGUUCAUAAUCACCUUCAUAGACCUCAUGACAACUCAAUAAACACCGUGAUACAACCACCACGGAGCCUAAUAGAUGUGGAACGAAAAUCACCAAAAAUUCGUCUCAUGGAAUAGCACGUUCCACCCGUUUUAGGCGCAACGACAACCUUAUUUCAUUUUUCAGUAAUUGACGCCGUAAUUAACUAAUUACUGCUCAUAAACAGGUAAGUACAGUACAGUAAGAAGCUCCGCACAUAAGAAGCUAAUGAAAAUUUCUCGCACUUUCUCAACAGAACAUUUUCCACAAGCAGUUGCAGUUGCUGUUGCUCGUCUUCUUCUUCUUCGUCGGCGGCAAAAAUGCAUUCGACUCACUUGUUUCUGGAAGAGCCGAUCAGGAUGGCUUCGAUUCUCGAGCCUUCCAAGCCUGUGAGUAAUUCCGGUCACUCUAACUCUUCCGUUUCUUUGAACUAGUAGUUAGUUAGUUAGUUAGUUAAUUUUGAUUGAGAAGAGAGAGAGCCAAUUAUUUGCUUUUGUUUCUUCAGCAAGUAACCAAGUUGUAGUGUGUUUGUUUCCCGAGAAAGUGAAGGAUUGGAUGGAAAACAAACAAGGCCUGGAUUUCCUCUUUGUACUACCUGUUUGGCUGUUUCUUAAAAUUAAUUUGUAGCAAGUAUAAAUCAGCUCUCAGUGUUUGUGGGUUUGGAUGGAAUCUGUAUUUCCUUCUUGCAUCUUAAUUCUUAUCAUGUGUUUGGUUUCUGAGAAAUUGUGAUAAUCAGGAGGGUGUCAUAUUUCUUAUCAGAGAAAUCUUUACUUAGCAAUCAAACAGGAUAUUAUUGUUUCCCAAAUAUUCUCUGAAUUUCCGUGGGUUAUUAGAUGAAUAUGUGGCCGUAGGGAUUUGACAGAACUUGAAUGCGUGACAAACUUUGAUGGAUCUAAACUUGCAGACAUUCUUUCCAGCAAUGACAAGGAUCGUGGGAACGCUUGGUCCAAAAUCACGAUCGGUUGAGACAAUCUCCGGUUGCUUGAAGGCAGGAAUGUCUGGUAUUACUCACCUGCUAUGCUUAAUUUUCAUUAUUCAUCUGUCUGAUUAUGAGUUGCCAGCUUCUUAUUUUUGCUAUCUCCCUUCAUCUAUAAUACUUUAGUAAAAGGAUAAGAAACACUGUCUGAGACUUGUGUACCUCCGUUUUGGCGGUACAAUUUCUUCACUGUGAAGAUAGUACUGUGUGAUUGUUUUGCUUCUGGUAAAUCCUUUAUCUAUUUUCCGUCUGUUCAAUUUGAAUUCCCUUUUUGAAUUUUAUAUGACGUUGAUUUAGCUAAUUGAAGUAUAUAAUUCCUUUCACACCCUCCAUGUAUAUAUAGUGGCACGGUUUGAUUUUUCAUGGGGCGAUGCUCAGUUUCACCAAGAGACAUUGGGAAACCUGAAGGUUGCAAUGAAGAGUACCAAUAAACUGUGUGCAGUAAGCUUGCUUUUCUUACGAUCUCUGCAUUUUGUCUCUAAAUUAUUUAAUCGUAUAUAAUGAUCCUAAAAUUCAACUUUUAACUAACUGUGCUUUUGUGUCUGCAUUAUUUAAUUUGUUAUGUUCCUUUCACUAAAUCACCUUAACUUGCAAGGGCUUGAUAUAGGUUUAGGAGCGUCAGAGGUCUCCCUCUAGCCCUAUAGCCCUCCAAGAAAUUAAUAUUUUAAUGAACAAUGUCAUGCCAUAUUUCUUACCAUUUCCAACUGAGGGGUCAAAGGGUCAUAGGCCAAAUAUAGCCAUGUGACAAAAAACCAUCUCCAACCGAGGAGGCCAAAGGGCCAUAGGCCAAACAUAAUUUAUUAUUUCAAUUUAAAGACUACAACAACUUAAAUUUAAAAAUUACAACUUAAAUUUAAAAACUACUACAACUUAAAUUUAAAAACUACUACUAUACUUAAAUUUAAAAACUACAACAACUUAAAUUUAAAGUCUAUAAUCAUCAUCAUCUUCAUCUGCCAUUGUAGGAUUUUAGUCGGAUGUAAACAACUCCCGUUGGGCCAUAAUUUCUCUCUUUUUCCUAUCAAAAUAUGUCUUGCUUGGAAUGUAAUCCAAAGUGUUCCUUCAUCCAUCUCUUCUUGAAUUUGUUUUGCCUGUUCUUCGUGUCUUCGCUUCCUUUCUUCCGCGGCAAAGGCAUUUUGCUCCGCCAUUAAUCGCAAUGCGGACGCCAUUUCCUGUUGAAAGGCGUAAUCAUCCUUUGACUUGCCUUUUUCGUUCAAUUUUAGGGCCUUGUUUCAUCCCAUAGCCCUAGGUAUGGAACCUUUAGCCAAAGACGGAUUUUCUACCAUUUUUUCUUGAAUGGUAGGAGAUCCAUGUUCAUCCCCAACUACAUUUAAGGAUGCAUUUCCGAACACCAGUGUAGUACCAGCUCUUUCUUGGGGUGGAUCUUCAAAUAACACCCACCCUUUACAAAUUUUCCAACAACCAUGAUGAUUAAAGGGUUUCGAGUUGUCCUCCAUAUACAAUUCCUCCGCUUGAUGUACCUAGAAAAUAUUACAAAAACUAAAGGAAAUUAAUUUAUGAAAUUAAAUGUAAUGUAAUUAAAUAUUUAAAAUAACUUGUGAAAACACUUACUUUGUUGUAGUAAUUGGCUCCGCUUUCAUGUUUGCUUUCGGCCUUUAACACUGCUUGAUGCCAUUUAUUCAAACUUGGAUGAAGAUGUUUUUUCCAUCUUGAAGAACAACUCUCGUGGUUUCGGGAAUUCGGUGGAGUGGUGCCUUCGUAGAACUCAUAGUACUUUUUAGACGUACGAGUCCAAACACCUUCACUUGUUUGAGAACUCUCCCUCACACUAUCUUCCGAGACCCAUCUAUAAGCCCUGCAAAGAGCUUCAUCUUCUUUUCGGGUCCAAGCCUUGCCUUUCAUUGCAGAUACGGCCAUUUGAAAAUUAUUGAAAAAAUUGAAGGAAAGAUUAUUGGAAGAGGUAAGAGAAUAGAAUGUGAAGAAUUGAAAUAAAAUGAAGUAAGAUAGUAUGGAAUGGUGAAAAUUAUGUGAGAAAUGUGUAGGAAUGGCUUAGGUAUUUAUAGGAUAAAAAUGGGAAUUUUUUAUUUUUUAUUUUUAAUUUUGUCCUGAAAAAAAAAAAGUUCAUAUCCAACGGUCACCUGGCGUCAAUGUUUUAAAAGGCUCGCCUCAGGGCGCGCCUAGGCACCCUGUGAGGCUGGGCUUGAGGGUUGCCGCCUCUGUUUUGAGGAAGUGGGUGGAAGGCGGCAGAAGGCGUCGCUGGAGCCGCCUAGGUGUGCCUCAGGGGAUUUUUUUUUUUUUUAACUCCCAAACCCAUAUUUUGGGUAGGGUUUUAACUGCCUCAUACCUCUUCCUUGCACUAUCAUCUCUCUGCCUUUUUUUUUCUGAUUUUUAUUUUUUUAUAUAAUGGAUGUGUGUGCUGUCUGUGUGCAUUGUUAUUUGUGUGCUCAUUGUGCUUUUCAUCCUCUAUUAUAUAUAUAUAUAUAUAUAUAUAUAAUAUAUGUAUGUAUAUAUAUGUGUGUAUAUGUAUUUAUAAUAUGUGUGUGCUCAGGGUGAUUAUUGAUUAAUAAUCUUUUUUUUUAAUAUAAUAUGUGUAUAUAUUAAAAAAUUUAGGUCCCACGAGGCUUCGCCUUACGUCUAGGCUGGGCUAUCCCUCGGACAUCUCGCCCACGCCUCACGCUUUUAAUACAUUGCCUGGCAUCAGCAUGACGUUAGUUAGCCGUUGCUAGCUGACGUCAUGCUGACACCAGGUAGCCGUUGGGGUUCAAAAAAUGGGCCGGCCCGGGGCUACAUGGCUGGCUCGUUUGGGCCAUCCGGUUGGCUUGAUUUGGUGUUUUUGGCCCGGUGGGGCCCAUGAGCCCUUUGGCCUAGCCCUUGGUUGGAAAUAGUUUUCGUGUCAUUUAGGGCUAUUUUUAGCCCGAUGGCCCUCUCGCCGGAUCGGUUGGAGAUGGCCUUAGCUCCUUUUGGAUAUGUACGCUUACAAGUUGGUUUAUUAAUCUUUUUUUUUUUUUUUUUUUUUUUUUUUUUUUUUUUUGCUUCAGGUAAUGCUUGACACAGUGGGUCCAGAGUUGCAGGUAGUGAAUAGAAGUGAGCAUCCCAUAUCUCUUCAGGAAGAUACCCUGGUUGUCCUAACACCUGAUCAAGACAAAGAGGCCACCUCAAAUCUACUACCCAUAAAUUUUAGUGGCCUGGCAAAGGUAUGUAUUAAUGAAAGAUGUCAUUCUGAAUAUUUUCUGGCUUAUCUCUAUGAAAGACAUAUAUCUUGCUAUAUUAGAAUCCUUGGUUCUAUUGGAUCUACAGCGAUGAACUUUGCCGUGCCAAUGUAUUUCUCUGAGUGAAGACGAACUAUGAAGUAACUGUUUUUGCACUUACCAAACUCAGCUAACCUGGAAAGAGACUGACUUAUUCUGACAUCAAUGAGGGACGGGGCUUUUGACGCAUUGUUUGUUUUUCCAAUGAGCAGUCGUGUUUUUCAGUCUAACCAACCCCCAAUCCCACCCACACACAUGCAUCGCAUUCGAGGGUAAUUAUUGGACAAAAUAAUCAAUUGGGGAAUAACUUAGCCAUUUGAUGAUUAUAACGAUGAUUUUCUAUAUCAAAACACUGUGUGCGUCUACUUAUUUGACAAAAAUGAAAUGACUAAACCAUUUCAAACUUAUGUGAUUUUGUGCUGUUUCUUCUAUUUCUUUCAGUUCUUGAACUUUUGCUGUAUUUUAGAUGCUUUACUUCUGGUGUAGAAUUCUUGUACAUAUAGACAAAGAAGUUCAAGUCAUCCAUAUCAUAUCAUGUCACGAGAUUUUGGAGGAACCAAUUUAUCUCUUAUAGGUUCAGGAAUGGUGUCUUAGAGAAACCAGUUCAUAUAGUUUGAUAUUGACUUCCUUCUCUUGUUUUUUGGAAGCAUGUAAGAACUAUAUUUAGUUCUGUAUAUUUAUCUUACAACAUGUCUCACAUUAUGUUGGCAUUGCUGCAAUGAGUUAAAUUAAAUUUGGUCUUUGCAGGCAGUGAAGAAGGGAGAUACAAUUUUUAUUGGUCAAUACCUCUUUACGGGAAGUGAAACUACUUCUGUGUGGCUGGAGGUAAGGAAAUAUAAGAGAUAUGAGUUCCAUAUGAAGUUGGUAGUAGUAUAGUUGGUUUCAGAAUCAAAAUUAGGCAUGUUAAUUUCAAAUCCUUGCCUAGUCAGAUAUGUAUUCCUUGUCACACAGUUAGAAGUGCAAACAAGGUAAUAGCCACUUUAUUCGUUACUCUUCUAACUGUUCCAAAGAAAUCUUGUAAAAAAAGCAAGAGUGGGACCAGAUUCUGAGAGAUAAAGAAUGCUGACAUUCAACUUUAAAAUUUUAAAUUAAUAGAACAAUUUAAACAUACAUUGGGAACUAGGUGAAGCUCUGUAGCAGACUAAAGCUAAAACUGAAUGCUAUAAAUUUGAUACAACCUUUGGCAGUGGAACCUGUAGUCUCUCAAGGUCCACUAUUGUUUGCAUACAUGAUAUUUAUAGGGGAUCAUCAGAAGUUAUCUAUUUGAUGAGUGACCUGGGUCCUGAAAACUUUAAUGUAAAUAAAACCUCCAGGAACUCUGAAUUUGCUACCUGCAAUAUGGUCCCAUGGGCCUUAUUGUAUGUCGAUUGCUUACAAUAGAUUUAUUAUGAGCCUCCAUCCGUUCGGUUGGCAGAUGUCUCUUGAAAAGUACCCUCUGCAUUCUUUUUAUAUAAUAUUCUCAGGAAAAAGAAUGAUUCACAUGUUGUUGUAACGUUUUCUUUUACGAUGCAGGUCACUGAGGUAAAUGGUGAAGACGUGGUUUGUCUCAUAAAGAAUUCUGCUACCUUGUCAGGGUCAUUGUAUACUUUGCAUGUCUCUCAGAUUCGUAUUGAUCUGCCUACACUUAACGAUAAAGAUAAGGAGGUUAGUUUCUUUUGAAGUCACAGUACUGGAUACUAACAUAAUUAGAGCCACCAACCCCCCUGAAAAUUGAAUUGUCUGCUUCUGCGUGGAUUCAUUAACUUGUGGAUUACAAUUUGUCCUUCUAUCAUUAAGUUUAGCGUUGCAAUUCAGAGGGAAAUUCUGAAAGCGGUUAUCAGAUGUGUUUAGAGUGGUGUGGGUUUGUGGAUUGUUUGGUUGGUAAGAAACACUUGGUUUUCUUCUUCUUCUUUGGGGUAGGAUUAGUUUUUAACUCUUUUUGGACAUUUUUGUCAAAGUAUUCUAGAGAGGUAAUAGUCAGUAUAUUUAAUCUUGACUGAGGUUUGUGUUUCGUUUUGAGGCUGUACCUUGGAGGAGAUGGACUUUGUCAAUUUUGUUUGUCUUUCUUCAUUUUCUGGAUUCAUUCCUUGAGUGUCUUCACUCAUCGUUGCUGAAUGAUGGCUUGUGUACCUUCUAAUUUUAUUGAUAGUGAAUUAGAAGGUACAUGAGGUAAUCCGUAAUGUUGAAUUCAUUAAAAUGAAUUUGGAGGAAACUGUAUAAAAAAAUCACUUUUUAUAAAAGGAGAUCUUAUUCUUACUUGAAUUGCUUAUUUAAUGUGUUUUAAUAUUUUAAUAAUUUUUCAGGUCAUAAGCACUUGGGGUGUUCGUAACACCAUCGACUUCCUCUCAUUAUCAUAUACGCGUCAUGCUGAAGAUAUUCGCCACGUAAGGACUGUUCAUGACAGGAUUUCCUGUCUGUUCUGGUGUUAUGUGAAUUAUAAUUUUUCUCCCUGUUCUUUAUGAUGUGGUUCACUCGUAUUUAGGGCUUAAUUCUCUGGGUAAUAUUAUUAUGUUUCCUUCUUCUUUUGAUAAUAUAAGGAGAAACUAAGUACCCUUUCCUUAUUAUUCUUUUCUUUUAGAGGAAGUAUUAUUAUUCUAUUUUAAUAGGCCGUUCUUGUUAUGCAGGCCCGUGAGUUUCUUUCAAAGUUAGGCGACCUCAACCAAACUCAGAUUUUUGCAAAAAUUGAAAAUGUAGAGGUGAGUUUCUUUGAAAAGAAUAAAAAACAAAAUUUACUAAUAUUGUCACCAUCAGCUUGGAUUAUGGAUAUGGUUACCACCUUGACAUGUGGGUUCCACAUUUGUGGAGAGCCCUCAGUAGUCAGUAUUUAGGCAGUAAUGGUGGUAAGGAAUAUUCUUGGCAGAAAGGAUCAUGUGUGACUGAUCAGAUUUCCAAAUGUCAUACUUGUGCUUGGAUUUGAAUUAGCGUACAGGUUCUCUUCUAUUUUUGUAGGGUUUAAAUCAUUUUGAUGAAAUUUUGCAAGAAGCUGAUGGUAUUAUCCUCUCUCGUGGAAAUCUGGGGAUAGAUCUCCCACCAGAGAAGGUACACUUUGGUAGUCAUGUUCUUUUAUGUAUUUACAUCAACUGCACAUGGCCACAAAAGUAAUGAGUAAGUCAUUGUCAAACAGUCUACAUAUACCAUAUUGGUAUGACUUACGUGAGAACCAUGUCUUGUAUGUGGUGUCAUCAGCAUAUUGUAUGUAUAUCGCAUCAAUGGUUUGUUAUAUGUUGGGUAUACCUGCACAAGUUAUAUUCUGUUAUGAUGUGGACUAUUAUUUUGGAGGAAGAAUUAAAUAGUGACUUAUCAAAUGUUGAUUUCCUCUGAUGGUGACCUGAAAGCUGGGAGGUACUUACAGUAAUGAGGAUUGGGAACCAAAUGUUCUUUUAGUGUGUGUGUGUGUGUGUGUGUGUUUCCAAUUUCCAUGCUUCGAUGGAUGUGUAUCUAUUUACUUUUAGUUGGAGGUUAUUUUUUAUAAUGAGGCUUGAAUAUUCUGGUAAGACACUACUUUGAUCUUCCAGGUAUUUUUAUUUCAAAAGGCUGCUGUUUACAAGUGCAACAUGGCUGGAAAGCCAGCAGUGGUGACUCGGGUUGUGGACAGUAUGACCGACAACCUUAGACCUACUCGUGCUGAAGCAACUGAUGUUGCCAACGCUGUACUGGAUGGUAAACUUCUGUCUUUUGACAUGAAAUAUGCUCCUUUCUGUUACCUUUGGCAGGUUCCACCAUCUCAUUUAUUCUUUCAUGUCCAUGUCAUUGCAUGGAUUGUUGCUCUGUUAGUGUUAGUAAUAUCAUUAGUAUUGUAAUACUCCUGUUGCUUGAGCAUUAUUAAACAAGUAACAAGUUAAUGUUAUCAUAGGAUGUACAAGUACGAACUGUGCACUUAUUUACCCACUUUUCAAUUCUAUUUGUGCAGGAAGUGAUGCAAUUCUUCUAGGUGCAGAGACCCUGCGCGGUUUGUACCCUGUUGAGACGAUCUCCAUAGUUGGAAAGAUUUGCUCUGAGGUAACUCCAUUUCUGUAUUGUAAUAAAGCUCUCUCCCUCUUCUGAAAAAGCAAGAAAUCUUUCGGCUGUUGCAUCCCUGUGUUUUCCGGAUGAUGGCGGAGCGGGAAUCAAAUUAUAAUAAAUAAGCCCAUUCAAUUACUAAAACUACAUGAUUCAGAUUAUUUAUACCUAUUAUGCAAUAAAUGCAUUUGGCACAUGUAUUUUAGGAUCCUUGGCUUCGAAUCUUAUAUCACAUGAGGCAUCAUGAAUAUAUCUGCUACCAUUUAGUGUUAUAAUUUGAGUCUUUUCAAUGAUUCAUGUGCCAAUGGUUCUAUACAUGAGAUACUUUGUGAGCUUUGAAAGUUUACAGUGAAAGAAGUUCUUGCGAUCUUCUUACUGUGAUGCCAAAAGUUUUCUAAUUUCUCUAUUGGAGUGAUUAAAAUGUUGAGAGUUGUCCCACAAUGGUGAGGGACAAUGUUUGCUAUAUGCUUAUAUGAUCUUGAGUUACUCCUUAUAUUGCCUAAAAGAUAACUCAAAGGAGGAAUUGCAGAUCAUGAGUAGAAAGAUAACGAACAUCAAGCUCCUUGCGAACAACCUUUUCACGAACAUAAUGGUAAUCUACCUCAACAUGCCGAGUGCGGGCAUGAAACACCGGGUUGGAAGCAAGGGAUAUAGCACUGAUAUUGUCACAGAACAGUGUAGGACAAUGGAGAGGAAACUGGAGGUCACGGAACAGCAUACGAAACCAUGAAAGAGUGGCAGCGGUGAUUGCAAGUUGACGAUACUCGGCUUCAGUGCUGGACCGAGAGACCCCAUUUUGUUUCUUGGCACUCCAUGAGACAAGAUUGGAACCCAGAUACAAGCAAUAGCCCCCGGUGGAACGCCGAUCAUCAGGAUCCCCGGCAUAAUCGGCAUCGGAAAAUGCCGUAAGACGAAAUGAACCAGGCUUGUAGAUAAGACCGUGAGAAGUAGUGCCGACAAGGUAACGAAGAAUGCGUUUGACGGCGGCCCAAUGAGUAGAAGUCGGCUGGUGAAGAAAUUGGCAGACUUGGUUGACGGCGAAGUUGAUGUCGGGGCGAGUGAGAGUCAAGUAUUGAAGGGCGCCGACAACACUUCGGUAUUCAGUAGGAUCCGGCAGAGGGUCACCAUCCUGAAGACUGAGCCGUCGCCCACUAACGGCAGGAGUAGGAACCGGCUUGGCACCAUGCAUUUUGGUGCGGUGAAGGAGGUCAGUGGCAUACUUCUGUUGGGAAAGAGAGAGACCUGAUGGAGUGCGGACCACCUCCAUGCCUAAGAAAUAAUGAACCGGUCCAAGGUCCUUCAUAGAGAAACGGAUGCCCAAAUUCUUAAUGAGGGUGACAAUAUGAGAGGGAUUAUUCCCGGUGACCAAAAUAUCAUCAACAUAAAUUAAGAGAUAAAUACGAGUUGAGCCAUGAAUAUAGGUAAAAAGCGAGUGAUCCGCGGUAGAGGGACGAAAACCCAAAUCUUCCAAAUGAGUGGAAAAACAUUGGAACCAUGCACGGGGCGCCUGCUUGAGCCCAUAUAAAGAACGACGAAGGCGGCACACAUGAUGAGGGAACUGUGGAUCAACAAAGCCACGAGGUUGGUGCAUAUAGACCUCCUCAGACAAAGAGCCAUGAAGAAAAGCAUUCUGAACAUCCAACUGACGAACAGGCCAUUGAAACUGAACUGAAAGAGCCAAAAUUAAGCGAAUAGUAGAGUGAUUGACAACAGGACUAAAAGUUUCACCAUAAUCAAGGCCGGGUUGCUGAUGAAAACCAUUGGCUACCAAACGAGCCUUAUACCGCUGAAUAGACCCAUCAGAAUUCUGUUUAAUACGAAACACCCAUUUGUUUGGCAAAAUAUUCAUAGAAGUAGUACGAGGAACAAGAGUCCAAGUACCAGCACGUUGAAGUGCAUUAAAUUCAUCGGCCAUCGCAGUACGCCAUUCUGGAAAAGUGUUGGCCUGACUAAAGCAAGUAGGCUCAAUAGGACCGGUAGAAGAAAUGGCAGCAGAAAAAACAUAUUUAGGAGGCUUAAGAGAAGCCGUUUUGGACCUGGUGAGCAUACCAUGGGAAGGAGAGGGCACGGCAGGUGGUACAGCAGCAGGGAGCCUCUGGAGGCGCAUCAGAGUGAACGGCAGAGGGGGUGGCUGCUUGUGCAAAAGAAAGAACCCGCCUGUGAGGGUCACGGGAGUAAACCUGGAGGGCCGGCUGUGGUGGGUCGGAUGAUGGACGGGAUUGAUGAGUCUCCAAAGAGGGGGACACAACCACCGGUGGGCUGCUAGACAGUCGGGGGGCACGCGGAAGAGGCCCAGUGAUUUCUAAAACAGGAGGAGGAGACGAGGCCGGAGAGGACGGGGCAAGAGAGCCAGAGAUGGCCUUGAAAGGAAAAUUACCUUCAUCAAACACAACAUGGCGUGAUAAAAAGAUGCGAUUAGUAGAGAUGUCUAAGCACCGAUAACCUUGAUGAUUGAGAGAGUAACCAAGAAAAACACAUUUAGUAGAACGAAAUUGGAGUUUAUUAUUAUUAUAGGGUCGUAGGUAGGGAAAACAUGCACACCCAAAGGUCUUUAAAAAACUAUAAUCAGGUUCUUUAAGAAACAACUUUUGAUAAGGAGACAUAAAACCAAGUACUUUAGAGGGGAGGCGAUUGAGAAGAUAAACUGCUGUGUGCAUGGCCUCAGCCCAGUAGGCAGGAGGCAUCGACACAUGGGCCAUUAAAGUAAGUCCAGUGUCGACAAUGUGACGGUGUUUGCGUUCCGCCAAACCAUUUUGUUCGGGAUGGUGAGGGCAUGAGAGACGAUGAUGAAUACCAUGGUGAAGAAAAAAAUGCUUGAAUUGAUGACUAGUGUAUUCGCCCCCACCAUCAGACUGAAACAUCUUAAUUUUAGUGGAGAAUUGAUUUUCAACCAAGGUCUUAAAGUGAGUAAAAAUAUUAAAAACUUCAGAUUUUAAUUUCAUGGGAUAAAUCCAAGAAUAACGAGAGAAAUUAUCAACAAAAAGAACAUAAUAUUGGAAACCACUAACAGACUUAUUGGACGCACUCCACACGUCGGAGUGAAUAAGCUCAAGAGGAGCGUGAGUAACAGACAAGGAUGCAGAAAAAGGUAACUUAACACUUUUGCCUAAGGGACAAGAAUGACACAUAAAAGUAUUGAGAUUGAGGUUGCCAGAAACAGGCAACUUAUUCGAAUGCCUAGAAAAAAGAAAUUUUAAAAUGGAAGAAGAUGGAUGGCCUAAACGAGAGUGCCAGACAUCACUACUAACACGAACACCAAGAAAAGCAGCACGACCAUGAGCAGUCGGUGAUGAAGAGGAAAAGGGAUAAAAGCCAUUGCUACUCUUGCCCGAAAAAAGAAUCGUCCCCGUCUCCAUAUCCUGAAUAUAGAAACAAGAAGGAAACAAUGUAAUAUAACAAUUGUUAUCCAACAUAAACCGAUUAGCAGACAACACAGAAGUAGAAGCAUCCGGACAAUGAAGAACAUCAUUAAGCUUGAAAGAAAUAUUAUUAUGAGAGAGAGUGGAGGAGCCAAUACGGUUAAUGGGCAAACCUGUACCUCCAACGACACCACCGACGGAAUCACCACCACGAUAAUCGCGGGACUGAGACAAAGUAUUGAGAUCAUUGGUGAUAUGCGAGUUGGCCCCGGAAUCAAGAAGCCAAGGCUGGGAGUGCUGAGCAGUCAAGGCAGUGAGACGUGAAGAAGGAGGACGACCUUCAUAAGCCAAAUUAAGGCGUUGAGCACAGUCAAGAGCACCAUGUCCAAAAGUAUUGCAAAUCUGGCAGCGAGGACGGGAGGAACCGUGAGAUGGGGCUGGACCAAGAACCCCAGAAGUAUUGUUGGAGCCACGGAAGCGAGAGCCGUCGUGCUGAGGACGACUACCACCACGAUCGCGAAACGGACGGUCAUGGAAACCACCAGCACCGCGAUAGCCACGAUAGCCGUCACCACCAUUGUUGCGAGACCCAUCAUGUUGAGGACGACCCACCCCACGUGAGAAACGGCCAGAGCCACGAUCGCCGCCGCGAUCAGAAGAGAAGCGGCCACGAGAGGCAGAAGAGCCGCGGGAGGCUACCAGGGCCGAGACGCUGGAGUCCGGCGGAGCAGGAGGAUCAGCAAGGCGAAGUUCAGCAGCGAGAAGAAGAGCCUCAAGAUCAGGAAGGGAGAUGGGCUUGUCACGGGCCUGAGCAGCAGCAACAGUGUUCUCAAAUUUGGGGCCGACAUUAGACAUGACGACCGGCACCAUGUCAUCAGGAGAAACAGGUGCCCCGGCAAGAGCCAAUUGAUCUGCAAUACCAUUGAUCUUAUCAAGAAAGUCAGAAAUUGAAGAAUCACCUCGUUUGGUCUGGAAGAAAGCAGUACGAAGCUGAAGAAUGCGACUUUGGUUUGUAGAAGCAAAACGCUGCUGAAGAGCAACCCAAACAUCACGGGCAGUGGAAUGACGAGCAGUGGCGGCGAGGGCCUGGUGACCAAGAGAGCCAUUGAUCCAAGAAAGAACAAGCUGGUCCUUCUGAACCCAGUCAGCAUACGCGGGGUUGGGCUUGGGAGAGGCGUUGCCGGUAGCGUCGGACAAGAACGCCGAGGGGCAGAUGGAAGUACCAUCAACAAAAGCCAACAAUUGACGACUGCGAAGAACAGGUAGCAACUGAGCCAACCAAAGAGGAUAAUUGGAAGAGUCAAGUUUGAUGGAGAUCGCAUGAGAAACAGAAGGGAAGAUGUCGGAGGAAGGAGUAGUCGAACUGGUUGAGGCAGCCAUGGAAAAGAGUAGUAAGAAUCCGAAAAAAAAAAAAAAAAAGACGUUAGUCACUGGCUCUGGAUACCAUAAAAGAUAACUCAAAGGAGGAAUUGCAGACAAGACAGCAAAAGUAAAAGAAGGUAUUUUGGCUCAAUCCCUCGAUACCUCAGAGGGUGCAUUAUCAUUGAUUUAAAUAGUGUACAAUGACUUGAUUUACAAGUAUAAUUAAUCUACAAAGAAUACAUAAAGGGAAUGUUUUAAUAAAACAGGGAAAUCUGGAAAUCAUGAUGAAACAGGAAACAAUCCCAAGAGAUCAGGAAUGUAUCAUCCUUUAUUGCCAAUUGGUAUUUUUAUGGUGGAACCCCAAUUUCAUCAUUGUAUCAGAGCAAGGUUGUCCACUUGUGAAGCCGAACGGCCACACGCUCUCCACAUCACCCAGUUGUUGUCCACGUGUAGGCUUGAAAAUCCACCACACGUGCGGGGGCGUGUUGAGAGUUGUCCCACAUUGGUGAGGGACAAGGUUUGCUAUGUGCUUAUAUUGCCAAUUGGUUUUAUGGUGGAACCCCAAUUUCAUCAUAAAAUACACCUUUGGUGCAGUGCUAAAGGUUGGAGUGAGACCAUAUAUCUGUUUUCUUCGUUUCUCUUGUGAUUGUCCUACAACGGUAGGGACUUUUAUAGACGUGCACCUCCAAAGCUAGUGUUGAAGUAGCACUGUUUUUCCAUCCUAUUAGUUUUCUCAUUUCUGAGGGUGUGUUUGCCAUAUGUUGAUGUGCAUUUUAGAAACUCUCAUUAUUCUUAUAUGGGACCAUUCCUCUAUAUUUUUUUCAGUCUUCUCUCUGAGAAUUCUUAAUAUUUCAGCUUUGGUUUUGUGGUUCUCUGAAGAUUCAGAACUGACUUAUAUUAGCACACUGAGCAUUGUUUAUGUUCUGUGAUCUUAUCGUUUCUGAUCUACAAUUUGUUGGUUUCUAGCGUAGACACUACCCAUUUGUUAAAUUAUGGCCAAACAACAAUUACUUUCGGCUAUUAAAAAAAGGAAAAGAAAAAACUUUUGGUUAUAAAAUUAUAAAGACAUCAUGAUGAGGAGGCAUCAUGAUGAUGUUUUUUCUUCUUUUGUGGUUUUUUAUUAGCCGAAAGUGAUGGCUUGGUUUAAAUAAUAAGUCAUUGUUUUGUUUCGGUAGAUAGAGAAGAAAAGGAGAGCUCAAUUUCAGUUUUGAGCAGAAGAGAGAAGAGAGCUGCAGAGAAAAUGAGUGCAAGCUGCAGAGCAUCAGAAAAUUAGAAAGGGUGCAACAACCCUUUGUUGAAAAGAAGAAGAAUGUGCUCUUCUUUUUUAUUAGCAAUCAUCCAUCAUAGUUAUUGUUGUAAUAGCUUUGAGCUAUAUGUGUAGAGAAGAAAUUAUACCUUAUAUUUCUUUCUCUAUUUGUUUCUGUGGUGUGUGAGAGCUAUUGGGUGUAUUGGGUUAUUUGGGUUGUGAGAUUGCCAACACUUUGUAAACUCCCAUUUGGUUGAUAGUGGAUUAUUGGGUGAGCUCCUACUGCUCCGAGGACGUACUCCAGUUACACUGACUGUUGAGGAACCUCGUUAAAAUCUUGGUGUCUUUAAUAUUUUGUUCUUGCAUUUCAUUUGAUAAAUUUCCUGUGGGUUAGCUUGAGUUGGUUCCAACGGGUUUGGUGCUAUCCUAGCACAACACCAUUCCCAAAGCUAAGGGCUAGGAGUAUAUUUGAUGUAGAACCAAAUACCAGAAUUUAGAAUUAGAAUUUAGAAGACAAAAAGAGAUGUCGAGGAGAAUUUAGAAGAAGAUUACUGGGGGAAAAGAUUUGUUUAAUCAAUCAUUCAAGUCUGUCUAAUUUGAAGUACUUACAAAGAACAUAUUUAUAAUAACCUAGGCCUACUACAAUUAGGGGAGUAAUCCCAACCCUGAUAGCAACAGGAAAGAAAGAAAACAAGAAAAUAAAAUAAAACAGGAAAUAUGAUUCUGCAUCAACAUAUUCCGGUGGAAUUGUGGUACUAAUUGUAUAUAAUAUUUAUAAAUUGGAAAAUGUUCAUGGCUAUUCUGUUCACUCCCUCUCAUUUGAGAUUCAACUGUUCGAAGUGGCUAUAGAAAUAUGUGUUUUGUUAGUCCGGCUAUUAUUUCAAAACAUUGUCUCUUUCUUGAUACUUAAGAGUGAUUCAUUGGUCUUGGCUAUAGUCACACGACUCAUAUUAGAAUGUGUGAUCCUUUUGUUUUGUGGUCAGUCAGUUUUGGAGGGUGGGAGUGGGACAAUUCUUUGUUCUUAUUAUUAGGAUGCAUGUUUCGUAGGAAUGGUUUAUCAAAAAAAUAUUAUAAAUUAAAGUACAAUGACAAGGGAAAGUUCUGAGUUCAUUUCCACAUUCAUUAUAACAGUUCCUUUAUAUCUUGUAAUAAUGGAAAUUUUCUUUUAUCAAAUUACUGUCGACAGGCGGAGAAAGUUUUCAAUCAAGAUUUGUAUUUUAAGAGGGCUGUCAAAUAUGUUGGAGAACCAAUGACCCACUUGGAAUCUAUUGCUUCCUCUGCGGUAGUUUUGUGCUUUCAGUAUUUUCCAUUUUGUUUUUUCUCUUUCUUUUUAUUGUACCAUUGGCCUGUUCCCUGAAGAGGUGCUGCUAACAGAAGCAUGUACGAAGGAUACCUUUUAUUUUGCUACAACAGGAAAAUAUUAUAAUAUAAUUUAUCUUAUCCUAGGUACGUGCAGCCAUCAAGGUGAAGGCCUCUGUAAUUAUUUGCUUCACUACAUCUGGAAGAGCUGCAAGGUGAUUCUCUCUUAUCUCUUCUUCUCUCUUCUUGUGUAUUUAUAAAAUCAAAUGAUUAGGGCCCGUUUGAUUACCAUUUUGGUAGUUUUUGGUUCUCAUUUUUGUGUUAGAGAUGGAGGGGAAAUACAUGGGACAAAUGAGGGAUAUAGAAUAGUUGAGGAAGGAUGGUGGAGGAAAUGUUGAAGGAAUGUUUAAGGAAAGGCACACAAAAUGUUGAAAAGUAAAAUUCAAAACCCAAAAACUAUUUUAAGUUGAUUUCACUUUCAAGAUUUUGUUUUCAUUUAUUCUUUAUUUCCUCCCCUUUCUUCCAUCACCCUUCUUCAUCUUGCCUCCUUUUCCCCCAUGUACUUUCCUCACAUCUCAAGCACAAAAAGUGAAAACAAGAAACUAAAAAUGGUUAUCAAACUGGCCCGUAGGAAAUGGGUAAGGCUAAUGUUACUUGGUUUUAUGUAAAAUUUUAGUUUCUUGAUUGAAGUUCAGUUAGAUCAGAUGUACUUUAAUUGUAAAACAUAAAAAUAAGUUUUUCUUUGUUGGUUUACGAUGUUAGAUACAAAUAUUUUUGUAAUUGUUAUGUUCACUCGUGUAUAUACCGGUUCUGAUAUUUGGGCAUUAAUGUAGGUUGAUUGCAAAGUACAGACCAACAAUGCCUGUGCUUUCUGUUGUCAUACCUCGGGUCAAGACAAAUCAACUCCGAUGGACAUUUUCUGGUGCUUUUGAGGUUUGUUACUGAACUGAUUAUCUUUGUUUUUAUGCACUAGCAAGUUUAUUUUUCCAAGUUUCUGCUAGAUGCUAGAAUGUCUCUACCAAUUGUUUUAUCCAGUUGGGACAAAAUGCUGGAGCAAUUGCUUUGUUGAAUGUUUUAUUUCUUCCUUUGUCGCACUCAAACAUGCGUGACAGUAGAUAAUAUCUUGAGCCACCCCACUUAUUCCCAAUUGAUCUUGAGUUGGAUGCCCUAGUUAAGAUGGUAGCAGAGCAGAUAGUGCAUCUGCAUGAGCCCAACGGCCAUGCUCCAUGUUACCUAAUAUUAACUGAUCCACAUGUUUGACUCCAUACGUUUCCAAUUGAAAAUAGAAAUCCUCCAUCGGAAGUUCUGUGCCUUGAUGACAACACUCGCACAUCAUGAUAUCUUUAUUCUGUUUAUACACCUUAUUUGUCCCUAAUUUUGUUCCUGCCGAUUGAAUAAGAAUCAAUUACAAUCAAAUGGAAUGAAGUUCUAAUGAAACAAAAAACGAUUGAAAAAUAAAUAUUAAAGAUGAGUGGGAAAACUUGUUAGGUACCAUUGACUCUGGUAAAGUUCUAAUUACUUUUGGAUUUGAACCAAUGACUCCUGCCGUAUGAAAACAACUCUAACCACUGAGUUAAGUAGGUAAUUAGCAUCACAACUCUAACCAAUUGAUUUUGGGUUGGAUACUCUUAACUUUAAUAUCUCUCUUAUGAACCCAAGAUUUGAAAUUGAGAAGAAUGAUUAGCAGACAAUCAUACUAUUUCUUUAUGAUCUAGAGUCUCCAACUGAAUUUGAUGCUCACAAGCUCUCUUUUUCUUAUGAUGAAUAUCUGGCAGGCAAGGCAAUCACUCAUUGUUAGAGGCCUUUUUCCCAUGCUAGCAGAUCCUCGACAUCCAGUAAGAUAUAUCUUGUUGAUUGCAUUGGGGAAAGCUAUGCAUAAUCCAUAUAAUAAUCACAUUGUUUCCCAGAUCUUUCCUUUCGUUAAAAUUGAUUGAUUUGGGUUUCCCGUUCACCUUGAAUGCUGCCCUAAUGAAUAUAGUUGGAAGUUUUUCGAAAUUCUAGAUAAGUAGAUCUCUGAAAAUGGUAGGAAAGGGGAAGGGGAGGCUACAUUUAGGGACCCGAGUCGGUUAUAGACGUGGAUUAACUUCAGUUCAUCACAUGAUGCAUAUUCUUUUGCAUGCUUCACUACCCAUUGUAUCAGACUGAGACGUUUCUUUUUCUUAUCUUCCCUUUCUCCCCUGCAGGCUGAAACUACCGGUGCAACAAAUGAGUCCAUUCUUAAAAUCGCUUUGGACCAUGGCAAGGCCAUUGGUGUCAUAAAAUCACAUGAUCGUGUGGUCAUUUGCCAAAAAAUUGGCGAUACUUCUGUGAUCAAGAUCAUGGAGCUUGAAGAUUGAUGUAAAAAUUGCAACUUCUUUUGCGUAUAUGUUUACGAGUUUACUUCUCCAUGGCCUGUACCGUGCCCUCUUUUCGGAAAAUAAGCAAAGGUACGUGUUACUUGUAAGAAACCCUGGAUUGAAUUUCUGAGUUUGUGGUUGAAGUACCUUAAAACUUUUUAAGGGAAAUUACUAUUAAGUUGUUGCUCCUCCAUCUUUCCUACCCAAAC